UGAUUCUGAGAGCAUGUUUUAGAUGGUGGUUUAAAUUUUUGCUUUGUUCUGCCUCUAGACAGCCGCCACCACCACUUUGUCCAAAUCUGAUGGCUCAGGCUGUAGCAUCUGCGUGAAUCUCCCCGUACAAUUGGACUCCGCAAUGUUUUCCAAAUAAACUCCAAACUCCGAAGGUGCAGCUGAAAAGUUAGAAUCUGAGGCAAUCAAAUCCAAUCCAGGGAAGAGAUUGGAUAGCUUCUGAGGUGUGGCUAUGAUCUGCUCUGACAAUUCCAAAUGGAGAUGAUACUGAAGAAGAUUUGCAGAGCGGUUUGGGAUAUCUGUGCAGCUCACAUAAGAAGAGAAUUGCAACUCUCGGGCUGAGAGGUAACUGGGAUUUGUUCUUCUGGGUCAGUUUUUAAGCUGCCAAUGCCUAAACCUCCAACAAAAUGGAAACUUUUUCCAAAACAAAAGGUUGAACAAAAAUAUCUCCAGGAUCCCUAUUUUUUUAAUGGCGCUGUUAAGGUUUUUGUCAAUUGUUAUUUACAAAGGUUGUGACUCUUCGUGCUGGCACCAAAAUAAAGUUUGUAGAAGGUUGUUUACUGACGAUAAAAGGAUUGGAGGGGAUUGGGAGGCAGAUGAGUGAGACUUCUGAUGGAUACAUAGAAAUAAAUGGUCUCUCACAUCUUGAACCAGAUUACUCUGGGUUUUUGGCAGGACGAGGUUGAUGGUAAGAUUGUUGUGGCUGGUAUUUCAACAACCUGGGCUCUUGAAAGUGAGCAUGCAUCUACGCAUUUGCAUGAAUGGAUUGAUCUCAUAUUCGGGUAUAAGCAGCGUGGCAAAGAAGCUAUAAAAAAAAAAAAUUUCUUUUACAUUACCUAUGAAGGGACACUGGAUAUUCAUAAGAUCUCAGACCCAGUACAACAUCGUGCAACACGGGACCAGAUUGCAUACUUUGGGCAAACGGCAUCCCAACUGCUUACCUUCCCUCACUUGAAGAGGUUGCCAUUAACAGAUGUUCUUCAUGUACAGUGAUUCAUGAACAGUGGAAGGUGUCGUUGCUGUAACACGAAACCCAGCUUUCGGCUAUCCGCUGGCAUCUCUCUGAAGCAUGGGGAUCAGUUAAUGGUAUCUAACAUACUGCUAAGGCCGCUCCAUCAUCUACUAGCUUGAGAAAUGAUGAAAGCGCCGAUAAAAGAGAGAAAUUGGCCGCAAAAUCCAAUGCGAAAGUAACCGAGAGCACACUCCCAACCAAAGUCAAAGAAUUAUUGGCGAGAGUAUCAAAAAAGCAGCGGUUGUGGAUCUAAUUAAAUCUGAGAAGGUUCUGAAAGCAGCCCAAGAACAUGGCGUCGGAACUGCAGUCCAGUGGCUGUAUAGAGGAAAAGGACAACGCAUGCUCUCUCUCUCUCUCUCUCUCAUAGUAGCUCCGUGUUCCUCUCCCCCCAAACCUAAUGGAUUCGGCCCAAUUCGGAGCUCCAGACACUUUGACUAGAGAUAGAGUUCACUAGGUAGACGUGGGCUGAGGAGAACUUCCAACGGAGUUGCUUUCGGAAUGGUUAAACCAGGACUCUCAGUCAAAUCAACAGACUGACCCGACGCCGUUUCAAUCUUAAACCCGUGCAGCAGUCGGGCAAGCGUUAGGUGAAGAACCUGCAUGGCAAACGACACACCAGGGCACGACCGUCUGCCAAAGCCAAACGGCAUCAGAUUAAAUUGUUGCCCUCUGACGUCGACAUGGCUAUGGCUUUCCAAGAACCUCUCAGGAACAAAAGCAGAUGGGUUCUCCCAAACCCUUGGAUCCCUUUGAAUCUUCCACACAUUGACCACUAGCCGGGUGCCGGCUGGCACGCGGUACCCUGCUACGGUACAGUCUUCCAGAGCUUCUCUCGGUCCCAAAAGGGGCCCAGCCGGGUACAGACGCAGAGUUUCCUUGAUUAUGGCUUGGAGAUAUACCAAGUUUGUGAUGUCGGAUUCUUCAACCUGUCUUUCUGUGCCGACGUGGAGGUCUAGCUCUUCUUGUGCCAUUUUCAUGGCAUCGGGAUUGUUUAAGAGUAAUGAGAUUGCCCAUGUAAGAGUUCCUGCUGUCGUGUCACUCCCACCAAGUAUAAGCGCCUACAAUUUCCAUGUUUAAUUUGUUUGAAUUAAAGUAAUUAAAUGACAAAUAAUCAAUUUUGAACAUUAAAAAGUAUGAGUUCAUUA
Non-coding RNA from Malus domestica (apple), 2175 nucleotides. The record is from RefSeq and is a predicted model, not a curated record. Lineage: Eukaryota; Viridiplantae; Streptophyta; Magnoliopsida; Rosales; Rosaceae.